UCGCCGGAAAGAUGACGCA
Molecule: small nuclear RNA, 19 nt
Filed under: Arabidopsis thaliana (thale cress)
Lineage: Eukaryota; Viridiplantae; Streptophyta; Magnoliopsida; Brassicales; Brassicaceae
Description: snRNA_10566
Source: RNAcentral